RNAcentral lists this ribosomal RNA (320 nucleotides) under uncultured Sphingobacteriales bacterium. Its description in RNAcentral is "bacterial SSU rRNA". It matches the Rfam family "Bacterial small subunit ribosomal RNA", at positions 1066 to 1382 of the family's 1533-position model. The record is from RNAcentral. Lineage: Bacteria; Pseudomonadati; Bacteroidota; Sphingobacteriia; Sphingobacteriales.
CGUCGGAGGUGUCGGGUUAAGUCCCCAUAACGAGCGCAACCCCUAUCAUUAGUUGCCAUCAGGUCAAGCUGGGGACUCUAAUGAAACUGCCUACGCAAGUAGUGAGGAAGGUGGGGAUGACGUCAAAUCAGCACGGCCCUUACGUCCAGGGCUACACACGUGCUACAAUGGCCGAUACAGAGGGCAGCUACCUGGUGACAGGAUGCAAAUCUCCAAAGUCGGUCUCAGUUCGGAUCGGAGUCUGCAACCCGACUCCGUGAAGUUGGAUUCGCUAGUAAUCGCGCAUCAGCCAUGGCGCGGUGAAUACGUUCCCGGGCCUU